AUUGAACGCUGGCGGAAUGCUUUACACAUGCAAGUCGAGCGGCAGCACGGGGGCAACCCUGGUGGCGAGCGGCGAACGGGUGAGUAAUACAUCGGAACAUGCCCAGUCGUGGGGGAUAACACUUCGAAAGAAGUGCUAAUACCGCAUACGUCCUGAGGGAGAACGCGGGGGAUCGCAAGACCUCGCGCGAUUGGAGUGGCCGAUGUCAGAUUAGCUAGUUGGUGGGGUAAAGGCCUACCAAGGCAACGAUCUGUAGCUGGUCUGAGAGGAUGAUCAGCCACACUGGGACUGAGACACGGCCCAGACUCCUACGGGAGGCAGCAGUGGGGAAUUUUGGACAAUGGGGGCAACCCUGAUCCAGCCAUUCCGCGUGAGUGAAGAAGGCCUUCGGGUUGUAAAGCUCUUUCGGCAGGAACGAAACGGCGAGCUCUAACAUAGCUUGCUAAUGACGGUACCUGAAGAAGAAGCACCGGCUAACUACGUG
This 484-nucleotide ribosomal RNA is filed under the name uncultured bacterium. RNAcentral describes it as "partial 16S ribosomal RNA". It matches the Rfam family "Bacterial small subunit ribosomal RNA", at positions 30 to 507 of the family's 1533-position model. The record is from RNAcentral.